GCGCAGUUAGCUCAGAUGGAUAGAGCGUCGGCCUCCGAAGCCGAAGGUCACUGGUUCGACUCCAGUACUGCGCA
Molecule: transfer RNA, 74 nt
Organism: Acidithiobacillus ferrooxidans ATCC 23270
Lineage: Bacteria; Pseudomonadati; Pseudomonadota; Acidithiobacillia; Acidithiobacillales; Acidithiobacillaceae
Rfam family: tRNA
About the family: Transfer RNA (tRNA) molecules are approximately 80 nucleotides in length. Their secondary structure includes four short double-helical elements and three loops (D, anti-codon, and T loops).
Source: Rfam